Molecule: ribosomal RNA, 406 nt
Filed under: uncultured bacterium
Lineage: Bacteria
Description: partial 16S ribosomal RNA
Rfam family: Bacterial small subunit ribosomal RNA
Source: RNAcentral
AUUGAACGCUGGCGGCAUGCUUUACACAUGCAAGUCGGACGAGUGGCGGACGGGUGAGUAACGUAUGGGAACGUACCUAGUAGCGGGGGAUAACUGUUCGAAAGGAUAGCUAAUACCGCAUAUCAUUCGAUCGACCCAUGUGUGAUUAGCUGGUUGGUGAGGUAAAGGCCCACCAAGGCGACGAUCAGUAGCUGGUCUGAGAGGAUGAUCAGCCACACUGGGACUGAGACACGGCCCAGACUCCUACGGGAGGCAGCAGUGGGGAAUUUUGGACAAUGGGCGCAAGCCUGAUCCAGCCAUGCCGCGUGUCUGAAGAAGGCCUUCGGGUUGUAAAGGACUUUUGGCAGGGAAGCGGUACCUGAAGAAGAAGCACCGGCUAACUACGUGCCAGCAGCCGCGGUAAUUC